RNAcentral lists this small RNA (19 nucleotides) under Arabidopsis thaliana (thale cress). Its description in RNAcentral is "ATSL225880". The record is from RNAcentral. Lineage: Eukaryota; Viridiplantae; Streptophyta; Magnoliopsida; Brassicales; Brassicaceae.
AGAACCAGAAGACAUUGAU